UACGGGAGGCAGCAGUGGGGAAUAUUGCACAAUGGGCGCAAGCCUGAUGCAGCCAUGCCGCGUGUAUGAAAAAGGCCUUCGGGUUGUAAAGUACUUUCAGUCGUGAGGAAGGUGUUAAGGUUAAUAACCUUAGCAAUUGACGUUAGCGACAGAAGAAGCACCGGCUAACUCCGUGCCAGCAGCCGCGGUAAUACGGAGGGUGCGAGCGUUAAUCGGAAUUACUGGGCGUAAAGGGCACGCAGGCGGUUAAUUAAGUUGGAUGUGAAUCCCCGGGCUUAACCUGGGAAUGGCAUUCAAGACUGGUUAGCUAGAGUCUUGUAGAGGGGGUAGAAUUCCGAUGUGUAGCGGUGAAAUGCGUAGAGAUGUGGAGGAAUACCGGUGGCGAAGGCGGCCCCUGGACAAAGACUGACGCUCGAUGUGCGAAAGCGUGGGGAGCAAACGAGGGAUUAGAUAC
RNAcentral lists this ribosomal RNA (454 nucleotides) under uncultured bacterium. Its description in RNAcentral is "bacterial SSU rRNA". It matches the Rfam family "Bacterial small subunit ribosomal RNA", at positions 340 to 785 of the family's 1533-position model. The record is from RNAcentral.